CAAGAGACAAAAAGGCAGGCCCACACUGCUAGAAUGACUAUCACUGGGAAUGACCUUAGGCUCCCAAGCACUGCUGAGGGGCAUCAUCAUCAUCAUCAUCAUCAUCAUCAUCAUCAUCAUCAUCAUCAUCAUCAUCAUCAUCAUCAUCCUCAUCCUCAUCAUCA
This 164-nucleotide microRNA precursor is filed under the name Sorex araneus (European shrew). RNAcentral's name for it is "miRNA (ENSSARG00000016888.1)". Lineage: Eukaryota; Metazoa; Chordata; Mammalia; Eulipotyphla; Soricidae. The record is from RNAcentral.